AUUGAACGCUGGCGGCAGGCCUAACACAUGCAAGUCGAGCGGAUGAAGGGAGCUUGCUCCUGGAUUCAGCGGCGGACGGGUGAGUAAUGCCUAGGAAUCUGCCUGGUAGUGGGGGAUAACGUCCGGAAACGGGCGCUAAUACCGCAUACGUCCUGAGGGAGAAAGUGGGGGAUCUUCGGACCUCACGCUAUCAGAUGAGCCUAGGUCGGAUUAGCUAGUUGGUGGGGUAAAGGCCUACCAAGGCGACGAUCCGUAACUGGUCUGAGAGGAUGAUCAGUCACACUGGAACUGAGACACGGUCCAGGCUCCUACGGGAGGCAGCAGUGGGGAAUAUUGGACAAUGGGCGAAAGCCUGAUCCAGCCAUGCCGCGUGUGUGAAGAAGGUCUUCGGAUUGUAAAGCACUUUAAGUUGGGAGGAAGGGCAGUAAGUUAAUACCUUGCCGUUUUGACGUUACCAACAGAAUAAGCACCGGCUAACUUCGU
This 483-nucleotide ribosomal RNA is filed under the name uncultured bacterium. RNAcentral's name for it is "partial 16S ribosomal RNA". It matches the Rfam family "Bacterial small subunit ribosomal RNA", at positions 30 to 506 of the family's 1533-position model. The record is from RNAcentral.